Molecule: long non-coding RNA, 2069 nt
Organism: Mya arenaria
Lineage: Eukaryota; Metazoa; Mollusca; Bivalvia; Myida; Myidae
Exons: 4
Source: RefSeq, a predicted model, not a curated record
AACUCCGCGCAGUGUUACUUCCCUUGCAGUACAGUAAUCACUGCCUUCACAAAUAUCACGUGAUGAUAGAUAAAACGGCACGUGAUUGCAAUUUACAAAAUGGACGGAACACCUUUAAAAGAAAUUCCAGCAACAUGUUUCAUUUGUUUAGAAAAUAAACGAUUUUAUUCCAUAAAAGGAAAAAAUGCAACGGAAGACGAAAUCAUCCAAAAACUAAGUUCAAUAUCAGGAAGCAGACCCAGGAGGACAUGUCGAAGAACAAGCCAGACAGCCCCCCCCCCCCCAAGCUGCCCAUCAGGCUGAGCUGUACUUGGUGUUUGCCAACAUGCUGUAAUUUCUAGCCUGGUUGCUGUAGCCACAGAGGAAUUUUCAAGGACAAGAACCAGUGCUGGUAAAACUGUUCUCGUGUGGUUUUCCAUACUGGCUCUCGGCAGGGUUUUCCAGAAAGGAAUAUCAUCUCCAAAUCAUGAUGUGCCAAUAUGCUCCAGUUAGCUGUGGCCUUUUCCCCAGGCGGUAGUCCUGCAAUCUGAAUCCAGGAGAUGCAGCUCUGAAUCCAAUAUUGCAGAAGAAUGAAGAUGUUAGUCAACUCUGUAGUACUUGUUUGUGUGUAAAUGAUUCCAAUGAGUGAGAUUUAUAGCAAAUCAGGUGUAAAUAAGCAUCUUAUAGACUAUGGUGAAGUGCUGUACUCUGAAUUUAAUGCCAAAUCUAGCCUUCAAAACAUAUUCUUGAAGUAUUUUUUUUUAAAAAAUGGGCAUAAUAAUGUUAUCUCUGCAUUUUCUACAUCAUGUAGCCACCUCAUACAUGAAAACACUAGCAGUUGUCAUGAAUCUUUAAGUUUUGGUGUGUUUUUUGCCAUUUUCUUUGUUGCGCCAUUUGUCCUGGAAGCCAACAAUUUGGCAUAUAGUGUUGUUUAGACUGUCUAUUAACACAUGGUCACUAAAUUUCUUGUGUUAAACUGAACAGUUCUGUUACCUUUGUAUAUAACUGGACCAGAAAAGCAAAAUUUUGACAAGUUGAGGCUUUUCAGUUUGGCUCUUUGUCAUUUUUAGCUCGUCUGUUUUUCGAAGAAAAAAAGUCGAGUUAUUGUGAUAGCCUUGGCGUCGUCGGCGUCGUCUGCGUCUGCGUCUGCGUCUGCGUCGUCGUCGUCGUCCAAAAACUUUAACCUUACCUCAUAACUCAAAAACCGUUCAACAUUUUCACAUUAAACUUGCUACACGUGUUCCUAUUAACACUAUGCAUGUUUAUAGCAGGUCAUAUAAUUUUGCCUUUAAUUAAUAUUGAGUUAUCCCCCCUUUUCGACUUGGAAUUUCAUCAGACGAGCGUUGGCACCCACUCCGCGGUGCUCUUGUUUAUAUAAAACACUAAGCCGAUGAAGUGGAAAAACCUUAUUUUGCUUAGAAAAAAAUCUUUAAAGAGUAGGCAGGCCAUUUUUGUGGUGCUGUUCUAUAGACACCGUUGAACGCUACAACGAAAACUUUACUUGGUCAAAUUAUUCCAAUACAUAAGGAAAUAAUGGCUCUUCAAAGGUUUGCGGCUUAACAUUUGAGGGAAAUGGCUGUUUCUGCUUUUUAUGAAAAUACCACAGGUGCUAAUACUUGUCUGAUUCAUUGAGUGUUUGAUAUAUCAUUGCCAAACUUUCAGUAUGUGGUGCAUAUAGCCUGCAGCUGAACAUUAGGAGUUUUGCAGUCUGUUUCUGAAAAAAUGUUGCUUAAAUGAUAUAGAGGAAGCUUUUGGAGGGGUGGCCUAUUUUAAAUUGUUAUAAAUUCUUAAUUUAUACAGCUAUCUGGUUGAAAUAUGGCCAGUUGACAGUGCUUAGCCAUAGAAUAUUUGUGUUUGAGUAUGAAAUUUUAAAAUCUUAUAUUACAUAAUAUAAAUUAAUAAUAUAUAAUUCUCUUAUAUAUUUUGACAUUUAAAAAAAAACAACAAACUACUUUCACUUUCAAUUUAAUGUUUGAAAAUAGUUCCAAAUGAUGGUAACUAAUGAAUGAAAGCCUCACUUUCAAUUCUAAAGUAUAAUGGAGGGAUUUUUAAACAUAGGAAGUAGACCCAGGAGGAACUGUUGAAGAACA